RNAcentral lists this ribosomal RNA (962 nucleotides) under uncultured Aneurinibacillus sp. RNAcentral describes it as "bacterial SSU rRNA". It matches the Rfam family "Bacterial small subunit ribosomal RNA", at positions 52 to 1004 of the family's 1533-position model. The record is from RNAcentral. Lineage: Bacteria; Bacillati; Bacillota; Bacilli; Caryophanales; Paenibacillaceae.
UACGUGCAAGUCGAGCGAACCGAUGGGGUGCUGGCAUUCCUGAGGUUAGCGGCGGACGGGUGGGUAACACGUAGGCAACCUGCCUGUACGACCGGGAUAACUCCGGGAAACCGGAGCUAAUACCGGAUAGGGUGCCGAACCGCAUGGUUCGGCAUGGAAAGGCCUUUGAGCCGCGUACAGAUGGGCCUGCGGCGCAUUAGCUAGUUGGUGGGGUAACGGCCUACCAAGGCGACGAUGCGUAGCCGACCUGAGAGGGUGAACGGCCACACUGGGACUGAGACACGGCCCAGACUCCUACGGGAGGCAGCAGUAGGGAAUCUUCCGCAAUGGACGAAAGUCUGACGGAGCAACGCCGCGUGAGUGAGGAAGGUCUUCGGAUCGUAAAACUCUGUUGUCAGGGAAGAACCGCCGGGAUGACCUCCCGGUCUGACGGUACCUGACGAGAAAGCCCCGGCUAACUACGUGCCAGCAGCCGCGGUAAUACGUAGGGGGCAAGCGUUGUCCGGAAUUAUUGGGCGUAAAGCGCGCGCAGGCGGCUUCUUAAGUCAGGUGUGAAAGCCCACGGCUCAACCGUGGAGGGCCAUCUGAAACUGGGGAGCUUGAGUGCAGGAGAGGAGAGCGGAAUUCCACGUGUAGCGGUGAAAUGCGUAGAGAUGUGGAGGAACACCAGUGGCGAAGCGGCUCUCUGGCCUGUAACUGACGCUGAGGCGCGAAAGCGUGGGGAGCAAACAGGAUUAGAUACCCUGGUAGUCCCACGCCGUAAACGAUGAGUGCUAGGUGUUGGGGAGUCCACCUCCUCAGUGCCCGCAGCUAACGCAAUAAGCACUCCGCCUGGGGAGUUACGGCCGCAAGGCUGAAACUCAAAGAAUUGACGGGGACCCCGCACAAGCCGUGGAGCAUGUGUUUAUUUCGAGCACGGCGAAAGACCUUUACAGGCUUGACAUUCCGCUGAAUCCCUCUGC